Molecule: long non-coding RNA, 409 nt
Organism: Carassius carassius (crucian carp)
Lineage: Eukaryota; Metazoa; Chordata; Actinopteri; Cypriniformes; Cyprinidae
Exons: 3
Source: RefSeq, a predicted model, not a curated record
GUACAUUUGGUCCUCUGAACAAUGCUCUAAAAAUGGCGUUUGUGGCCCCAAUCAUAAUGACACCUGCAGAUGCAUCACUUCUCUUCCAACUGACGGGACGUUCUGCCGGCGACCACCUGCUCCUCUGAAGUCGUUUAAAUACUCCAUUGACAUAAAAAUCAAUGCUUCAAGAGAUGUUGUGGUAGAGUGCUUGAGGGCUUUGAUUCAUGGACAGAAAUUCCCCACAUGUGUCAAAAAAGGCAUAAAGAUCUCUGGUGUGGACAUCACUACAGUGUGUCUCUCAAAUGUGAACCAAACCCAGUGUAAGUGUGAGAAUCAGUACGUUUGGUCCUCUGAACAAUGCUCUAAACAUGGUGUUUGUGGCCCCAAUCAUAAUGAUACCUGCAAAUGCAUCAAUUCUCUUCCAACU